CCUAACCUUAUCCUUUUGUUGCCAGCGGUCCGGCCGGGAACUCAAAGGAGACUGCCAGUGAUAAACUGGAGGAAGGUGGGAUGACGUCAAGUCAUCAUGGCCCUUACGACCAGGGCUACACACGUGCUACAAUGGCGCAUACAAAGAGAAGCGACCUCGCGAGAGCAAGCGGACCUCAUAAAGUGCGUCGUAGUCCGGAUUGGAGUCUGCAACUCGACUCCAUGAAGUCGGAAUCGCUAGUAAUCGUGGAUCAGAAUGCCACGGUGAAUACGUUCCCGGGCCUU
This 284-nucleotide ribosomal RNA is filed under the name uncultured Enterobacteriaceae bacterium. Its description in RNAcentral is "partial 16S ribosomal RNA". It matches the Rfam family "Bacterial small subunit ribosomal RNA", at positions 1097 to 1382 of the family's 1533-position model. Lineage: Bacteria; Pseudomonadati; Pseudomonadota; Gammaproteobacteria; Enterobacterales; Enterobacteriaceae. The record is from RNAcentral.